RNAcentral lists this long non-coding RNA (239 nucleotides) under Elaeis guineensis (African oil palm). RNAcentral describes it as "long non-coding RNA (EGUI_LNC025610)". Lineage: Eukaryota; Viridiplantae; Streptophyta; Magnoliopsida; Arecales; Arecaceae. The record is from RNAcentral.
CCUCCUCUUCUUCAUCCUCAUUCAUUUUUCCUCCUCAUCCUCCUCCUCCUCUAAGCUAUCUAUGAGCCUUCUCCUUCCACGGCAGCCCCUUCUACCACCACCACUUCUUGUCGACAACCCAUCAUUCUCUUUUCUUUUCCUCCUCACCCUCUUCUUCUCCUUCUCAUCUAUAUCCUUUAAAGCUGCCAAUAAGCCUUCCCCCUCUAUGGUGGUUCACUUUAUCUUUAUCCAUUUCUUAU